Molecule: non-coding RNA, 45 nt
Organism: Schistosoma mansoni
Lineage: Eukaryota; Metazoa; Platyhelminthes; Trematoda; Strigeidida; Schistosomatidae
Source: Rfam
AUCGAGCUGAUGAGUCACAAAUAAGACGAAACCCGCGUCCUGUAU